GCAUGGGUUUGGAUUUAUGAUAGGUCUGUUCCUCUGGGCCUUUCAUGGUGCCCCCAUGACAGAGCAAACUGUGGCCCUGAGCAACUGCCUGGUGUCUAUGCCUGCAGGCUGCUGGCACUGGAGUGGGUUGCAUAGCA
Molecule: small nucleolar RNA, 137 nt
Organism: Otolemur garnettii (small-eared galago)
Lineage: Eukaryota; Metazoa; Chordata; Mammalia; Primates; Galagidae
Source: Ensembl